Molecule: ribosomal RNA, 332 nt
Filed under: uncultured bacterium
Lineage: Bacteria
Description: bacterial SSU rRNA
Rfam family: Bacterial small subunit ribosomal RNA
Source: RNAcentral
AUUUGACGUUACCUACAGAAGAAGCACCGGCUAACUCCGUGCCAGCAGCCGCGGUAAUACGGAGGGUGCGAGCGUUAAUCGGAAUUACUGGGCGUAAAGCGCAUGCAGGCGGCCUGUUAAGUCAGAUGUGAAAGACCCGGGGCGUUAACCUCGGAAAUUGCAUUUUGAAAACUGGCAGGCUAGAGUCUUGUAGAGGGGGUAGAAUUUCAGGUGUAGCGGUGAAAAUGCGUAGAGAUCUGAAGGAAUACCAGUGGCGAAGGCGGCCCCCUGGACAAAGACUGACGCUCAGAUGCGAAAGCGUGGGGAGCAAACAGGAUUAGAUACCCUGGUAG